GACGAACCGUGCGAACGUUAUUCGGAAUCACUGGGCUUAAAGGGCGCGUAGGCGGACUUGCAAGUCUGCGGUGAAAGCCUCCAGCUUAACUGGAGAAGUGCCGUGGAUACUGCGGGUCUCGAGGAGGGUAGGGGCAUCUGGAACGUUGGGUGGAGCGGUGAAAUGCGUUGAUAUCCAACGGAACUCCGGUGGCGAAGGCGAGGUGCUGGAUCUCUUCUGACGCUGAGGCGCGAAAGCCAGGGGAGCAAACGGG
This 253-nucleotide ribosomal RNA is filed under the name uncultured bacterium. Its description in RNAcentral is "partial 16S ribosomal RNA". It matches the Rfam family "Bacterial small subunit ribosomal RNA", at positions 524 to 776 of the family's 1533-position model. The record is from RNAcentral.